This 487-nucleotide ribosomal RNA is filed under the name uncultured Corynebacterium sp. RNAcentral's name for it is "bacterial SSU rRNA". It matches the Rfam family "Bacterial small subunit ribosomal RNA", at positions 8 to 507 of the family's 1533-position model. Lineage: Bacteria; Bacillati; Actinomycetota; Actinomycetes; Mycobacteriales; Corynebacteriaceae. The record is from RNAcentral.
AGAGUUUGAUCCUGGCUCAGGAUGAACGCUGGCGGCGUGCUUAACACAUGCAAGUCGAACGGAAAGGCCACAGCUUGCUGUGGUACUCGAGUGGCGAACGGGUGAGUAACACGUGGGUGAUCUGCCCUGUACUUCGGGAUAAGCUUGGGAAACUGGGUCUAAUACCGGAUAUGACCACUUUUUGGAUGGGGGUGGUGGAAAGCUUUUGCGGUAUGGGAUGAGCUCGCGGCCUAUCAGCUUGUUGGUGGGGUAAUGGCCUACCAAGGCGUCGACGGGUAGCCGGCCUGAGAGGGUGUACGGCCACAUUGGGACUGAGAUACGGCCCAGACUCCUACGGGAGGCAGCAGUGGGGAAUAUUGCACAAUGGGCGCAAGCCCGAUGCAGCGACGCCGCGUGGGGGAUGACGGCCUUCGGGUUGUAAACUCCUUUCGUCAGGGACGAAGCGAAAGUGACGGUACCUGGAUAAGAAGCACCGGCUAACUACGUG